RNAcentral lists this transfer RNA (73 nucleotides) under Candidatus Bipolaricaulota bacterium. Its description in RNAcentral is "tRNA-Thr". It matches the Rfam family "tRNA". Rfam says of the family: Transfer RNA (tRNA) molecules are approximately 80 nucleotides in length. Their secondary structure includes four short double-helical elements and three loops (D, anti-codon, and T loops). Further hydrogen bonds mediate the characteristic L-shaped molecular structure. tRNAs have two regions of fundamental functional importance: the anti-codon, which is responsible for specific mRNA codon recognition, and the 3' end, to which the tRNAs corresponding amino acid is attached (by aminoacyl-tRNA synthetases). tRNAs cope with the degeneracy of the genetic code in two manners: having more than one tRNA (with a specific anti-codon) for a particular amino acid; and 'wobble' base-pairing, i.e. permitting non-standard base-pairing at the 3rd anti-codon position. The record is from RNAcentral. Lineage: Bacteria; Candidatus Bipolaricaulota. RNAcentral also lists the same sequence under 1 other name.
GCCAGCGUAGCUCAACAGGCAGAGCAACGGUUUUGUAAACCGUAGGUUGCCAGUUCGAUUCUGGCCGCUGGCU